GUCGUCGGUGGUGACGGCGGCAGAGGGGCCGUUCUCGGAGGAGCUGAUGGUGACGACCACCUUGGUGGCGGGGCCGAUGGCCUUGGCGAUGGACUCUGGGUCGCUGAAUGUGGAUUCGACUGCGUUUAAGCGCUUUGAUUCUUCUGGAGAGAUUAUCCUGUACGCCGCCGCCAGUUGUGCCAGCUCCUGUGCCGCCGCCAGAUCCGGCACUCCAGCCCUGACAGAAAACCCUUGCCGCAGCAGCGUCUGCGCAAUGCGGAUCCCCGCCUGCCCCGUCGCACCAGCCACAAACACCGUCCGCGGCUCCUUCCUCCUCGGAAUCACAAAGAAGCCAUUUUCCGGCACCCGCACCACCGGUAUCAGCGACUUCGGGUCCGGCAGCCUCCCGAAG
This 391-nucleotide unclassified non-coding RNA is filed under the name Hevea brasiliensis (rubber tree). The record is from RNAcentral. Lineage: Eukaryota; Viridiplantae; Streptophyta; Magnoliopsida; Malpighiales; Euphorbiaceae.